GAUGAACGCUAGCGGCAGGCUUAAUACAUGCAAGUCGAGGGGUAACAUGGUAGCAAUACUGAUGACGACCGGCAAACGGGUGCGGAACACGUACAGAACCUUCCUUUAAGCGGGGAUAGCCCAUAGAAAUGUGGAUUAAUACCCCACUAGUAAUAUUGUCUGGCAUCAGAUGGUAUUUAAAGAUUUAUCACUUAAAGAUGGCUGUGCGGCUG
Molecule: ribosomal RNA, 212 nt
Filed under: uncultured bacterium
Lineage: Bacteria
Description: partial 16S ribosomal RNA
Rfam family: Bacterial small subunit ribosomal RNA
Source: RNAcentral